Molecule: ribosomal RNA, 671 nt
Filed under: uncultured marine bacterium
Lineage: Bacteria
Description: bacterial SSU rRNA
Rfam family: Bacterial small subunit ribosomal RNA
Source: RNAcentral
GUACAGCGGCGGACGGGUGAGUAACGCGUAGGAAUCUACCUAGUAGUGGGGGACAACUCGUGGAAACGCGAGCUAAUACCGCAUACGCCCUACGGGGGAAAGCGGGGGAUCUUCGGACCUCGUGCUAUUAGAUGAGCCUGCGUAAGAUUAGCUAGUUGGUGGGGUAAUGGCCUACCAAGGCGACGAUCUUUAACUGGUCUGAGAGGAUGAUCAGCCACACCGGGACUGAGACACGGCCCGGACUCCUACGGGAGGCAGCAGUCGGGAAUAUUGCGCAAUGGGCGAAGGCCUGACGCAGCCAUGCCGCGUGUGUGAAGAAGGCCCUAGGGUUGUAAAGCACUUUCAAUUGGGAGGAAAAGCUAAUGGUUAAUAGCCAUUAGCCCUGACGUUACCUUUAGAAGAAGCACCGGCUAACUCCGUGCCAGCAGCCGCGGUAAUACGGAGGGUGCAAGCGUUAAUCGGAAUUACUGGGCGUAAAGCGCGCGUAGGCGGUUUUUUAAGUCGGAUGUGAAAGCCCCGGGCUCAACCUGCGAAUUGCAUCCGAUACUGGAUAACUAGAAUGCGGGAGAGGGAGGUAGAAUUCCAUGUGUAGCAGUGAAAUGCGUAGAUAUAUGGAGGAAUACCAGUGGCGAAUGCGGCCUCCUGGCUCGACAUUGACGCUGAGGUGCGAA